This is a long non-coding RNA of Coregonus clupeaformis (lake whitefish), 224 nucleotides long. RefSeq lists it as uncharacterized. The transcript is spliced from 3 exons. Lineage: Eukaryota; Metazoa; Chordata; Actinopteri; Salmoniformes; Salmonidae. The record is from RefSeq and is a predicted model, not a curated record.
UUCAAAAUAACCAAUGUAACCAUGGAGUCGCAAAGCAAUAGCCUCACUCUCACCAAUGAGACCUACAGCCAGAUAGAGGAUUCAAUUAACAGCCUACUCCAUGAUAUUCUUUGUAAACCAGACGGCAAACAGUUUGACUUUCCCAAACCCAACUUCACUACUGUUGGCACUCAAAUCAGGGCAGACGUGAUGUAUGUAUACAAAAAGGAAGACAUCAACCUCCC